Molecule: unclassified non-coding RNA, 253 nt
Filed under: uncultured Rhodobacterales bacterium
Lineage: Bacteria; Pseudomonadati; Pseudomonadota; Alphaproteobacteria; Rhodobacterales
Description: contains 16S-23S intergenic spacer region
Rfam family: Bacterial small subunit ribosomal RNA
Source: RNAcentral
UACGGAGGGGGCUAGCGUUGUUCGGAAUUACUGGGCGUAAAGCGCGCGUAGGCGGACUGUUAAGUCGGGGGUGAAAUCCCGGGGCUCAACCCCGGAACUGCCCCCGAUACUGGCAGCCUGGAGUACGGGAGAGGUGAGUGGAAUGCCGAGUGUAGAGGUGAAAUUCGUAGAUAUUCGGCGGAACACCAGUGGCGAAGGCGGCUCACUGGCCCGUUACUGACGCUGAGGCGCGAAAGCGUGGGGAGCAAACAGG